CGCGUAGGCGGAUAUUACAGUCAGGCGUGAAAUUCCUGGGCUCAACCUGGGGGCUGCGUUUGAUACGUGAUGUCUGGAGUUCGGAAGAGGGUCGUGGAAUUCCCAGUGUAGAGGUGAAAUUCGUAGAUAUUGGGAAGAACACCGGUGGCGAAGGCGGCGACCUGGUCCGAUACUGACGCUGAGGCGCGAAAGCGUGGGGAGCAAACAGGAUUAGAUACCCUGGUAGUCCACGCUGUAAACGAUGUGCGCUGGAUGUUGGGUGACAUAGUCACUCAGUGUCGUAGCUAACGCGAUAAGCGCACCGCCUGGGGAGUACGGCCGCAAGGUUGAA
This 331-nucleotide ribosomal RNA is filed under the name uncultured bacterium. RNAcentral describes it as "bacterial SSU rRNA". It matches the Rfam family "Bacterial small subunit ribosomal RNA", at positions 568 to 898 of the family's 1533-position model. The record is from RNAcentral.